CUGUAUUUUCCUAUUGUUCUCUUUUUCCUUCUCACCUGUGUCCUCUGACCACACUGCUAACCUUCCCCUAUCCUUCUUCCCAUCUAUCCCUCCCUCCCCAACCCCUUCUAACUCCCCAUCCCAAAGGGCAAAGUUGUUAUAUUGAAGAGUUUAUUCACUAUAUGUUGGGUUGGCCCUCGAUCUUGAUUUAAUUCACACAGCUAAAGAUCUCUCCAGAACCCAUCUGUUUCUUUCCAUCUUCACUACCCAAGGCCUAGCUACUUCUACAAGAUGACAGCAGCCCCCAGCAGCCUGUCCUGCCUCGUUCUCACUGUCCAUGUUGGGCCAGGCAGAUAUUCUCCGCAUCAGUGGCUCCUCGGUGCCACUAGGACAAACCCAAAGUCGUCCGGUGUACAACAGUCUUCAGCAUCUGGCCUCUGUUUACCGCCACAUCUAAGCCUGCGUCAUCCCCUCUCAACUUCUAGGUCUUAAAUGUGCUCUAACUGCACCCUGAAUGCUUGUGGGUAUCUUCCCUUUCCUUCUGCACAGCAUCUGCCCCCCACCAUGGUGGGGCUUGAGCCCAGGGGCACUCUGCACUGAAUUCUAUUUUCAUUUUGAGAUAGGGUCUUGCUAAUUGCCCAGGCCAGGCUUGAACUUGUGAUGUUCCUGCCUCAGCCUGCUGAGGAGCUGGAAUUACAAUCAUGUACCACUGCUUCCAGGUUAAUGUUCCUUUUAUCUCAGGCCUCAAUGCUCACUCCAAGUGGGACACCCUGUCCUUAAAGCACCCAGGAUAUGGCAGGGAAUCCAACACUAAACAUCUGAGCAGGUAGACAAUGCAGGCCCCACACCCCCUGGGAGCCUAGGGUGCAGAGAUACAGUACCUUCCCCCAUGGGUCCUUGUUUGUCUUCUCUUUAAAAGGAUUUUGCCCCCUUUUUAAUUAGGGGACAUACAAAGUGAGGGACAAGAUAAUCUUUGUUUUGGGGGGU
Molecule: long non-coding RNA, 966 nt
Organism: Heterocephalus glaber (naked mole-rat)
Lineage: Eukaryota; Metazoa; Chordata; Mammalia; Rodentia; Bathyergidae
Source: Ensembl